UUUAAGCUAUUUCAACCAAACUUUUUAAGACACUAUAGGGUUAAUUUGGAGAUUUCAGCCUUCCUAUUCAAUGCUUCCGUUUCUAAUCUAUUCAGCUCCUUCAAUCAAGUUUCAAUUCAUGUUCAGUUUAUGCAUAUAUAGAGAGACAAUCUGGAAUAAAUCUCCAGAACUGGCGAGGAGAGGAAGGGAUUUAACGGUGCCCUUUGUUUCUUUCGGGAUCUGUAAGCGAUACAAACCCUAUCUCAGAAUGAUGAAUUGAUGAGGAAGCGAACGUAUGAAGGGGAGUCCGGCUGAUUCCGAUUCCACCAAGACCGAUGUUGUCGCCGCCCUUGAAAACGACCUCAAUAUAUUUGAAAAGGAAUCCAAGAUUCCUGUAGACCUGGACUAGCAUGUAUAUUCAUUGACACAGAUACUCAUAUCCUCUGUCGAACAGAGUUACUUUUAACUUGACGCCAGAGAUGAUUCACAAGAGUCUACUAACUAUUUCCUUUGCCAGUCUGUGUGUUACCAUCAUGGCGUUUGGCGCAGGAGAUGGCCAUGUCGGAGGGCACCACGGUGGAACAUCGUCACUGGUUUGUGCAUGGGAGCGGUAUUAGAGAAGAGCUAUGUGGUAGAGGGCAAGGUUGGCUAUGAUGUUUUGUGGAUCGAUUCAAAGGUUCGAACUCUACAUAGUUCGGCAGUCUGACCUGUUUUGGUAUGAUUUUCGGAUUCCCUUCGCCAUGCUGAGAUUGUAGCCAGAAGAGCUUUGCUAAGGUUCCUUUUUUCUUUUUUUGAGACUCUGUUUUCUGAAUUUAUAACAUUUUUAUCUGAUAUUAAGGUUAAUGCAUUGUCACCCUUUAAUGUAUGAUGACAAAAUUGGUGAAAUCUGGUGGCUUUUUAUGUAGAUAGAACUAUGUUUUUGAAGCCCCUUUUAAGAGCAGAAUUAUAUUUUGACAUUCAUAGUCAAACAGACAAAUAUUGACUUUAAAGUUGUUUAAUUUUGGAAAAUUGAUUUGCAAAAGCUUUGUUUUUUCAACAUUUACUGCAAAGUGAGAAAUGUAGCCUAAAUUGAUAAUAGUUUUCAUGCUAGAGCAGGCUUCUAGGACUGGGAGAUGGCAGAACUAGCGUUGACCAAAUAAGUCAAACACGCGUCUUUUUUGUGAGUUUGUGUAAUGAUAUGAGUAUUAUAAUCAUUAAACAGAAGAGUGAGUGAUUACCGAUUUAGUCAUCGAGAUUAUGGUUGUGAAUUGGAUUGUUGUAGCCUCUAUGCAUUUAUAUGAUUUCGUAUAUUGUUAAUAGUCUGUGACUUCACACUGACUUUCUGAACUAUCAAAAUUUGCUAACAUCAAGUCAUAUUUUGAGACCAGGAUGUUGUUUUACUUCUUCACUUGGAUAAAUAUAAUUUACUACUACUUUGGUUUUGUCUUCUUAAAACAAAAAAAAAAAACAAUCUUUUCUAGAUACUUCUAUUCAGGGAUCCAAAAAAAGUAGCAUGCAGCUUCCAGGUGCAGCUGCCGCAGAUUCCCUAUUCUAUAAGGAGGCAGGAGGUUUUGGCGGUGGCAAAUACAAGAUGAGACCGGGCUGGCAGUUGCACUUAUACAUAUCACAGUUGCCUUAGUUUUCAAUACAUUUUCAUUUUAGAUGUGCACUUUGGAAUAUAAUGAACACAACAAGAGAAGAAACCAGCACUUUUCAACAGUAACAUCCAUUAUUCAACUGUCGGAAGCCGAAGUUGUUGAACCAGGAGCUCUUUCAACCAAGAUUAUUCAACAGCAUUCCCUUACAACUACUGGAUCCAACCCAAACACAACAUGGUUUUGUUGUCUUCUACUCUUUAACAUUAUUCUUCGCAAAUUUCGGGCCCAAUGCGACAACAUUCGUCGUCCCAGCAAAGAUUUUCCCGGCCCGGUUGAGAUCAACUUGUCAUGGGAUAUCCGCAGCGUCAGGGAAACUCGGGGCGAUAGUUGGGGCUUUCGGGUUCUUGUACUUGGCUCAAAAUAAAGAUCAUGCUAAGGCGGAUCACGGGUAUCCACCGGGCAUAGGAGUAAAAAACUCAUUGAUUGUGUUGGGUGUGAUUAACUUGUUGGGGACAUUGUGUACAUUUCUGGUGCCGGAAUCAAAGGGGAAAUCACUUGAGAAAAUGUCUGGUGAGAAUGAAGAAGAAACCGGUGAGACCAGAGCCUAAAUGUUGCUUGAGAAAACAAAUGCUGUUUUUUGUUACAUUUUUUAUGGUGAUUUUGUCACCAUAGCUUAUUAGGUAAUUUAUAUUGCAACUUUUUCCUUCUUCCUAGAGUUAUUAUUCAUUUUUUUUUAAUUUUGUGUUUCAUUUUUGUAGAACACAUGUUGUCUAAUAUAUAUAGGUUAUAAGUUACCUUUGAUAUUAUGGAAA
Helianthus annuus (common sunflower) is the source of this 2368-nucleotide long non-coding RNA. RefSeq lists it as uncharacterized. Lineage: Eukaryota; Viridiplantae; Streptophyta; Magnoliopsida; Asterales; Asteraceae. The record is from RefSeq and is a predicted model, not a curated record. The transcript is spliced from 6 exons.